CAGUCGCCGCGGUAACACGAAGGGUGCAAGCGUUAAUCGGAAUUACUGGGCGUAAAGCGUGCGUAGGCGGUGAGUUAAGUCUGCUAUGAAAUCCCCGGGCUCAACCUGGGAAUGGCAGUGGAUACUGGCAAGCUAGAGUGUGUCAGAGGAUGGUGGAAUUCCCGGUGUAGCGGUGAAAUGCGUAGAGAUCGGGAGGAACAUCAGUGGCGAAGGCGGCCCUGGGCCAACACUGACGCUCAUGCACGAAAGCGUGGGGAGCAAACAGGAUUAGAUACCCGCGUAGUCCCUGUCUCUUAUACAC
RNAcentral lists this ribosomal RNA (301 nucleotides) under uncultured bacterium. Its description in RNAcentral is "partial 16S ribosomal RNA". It matches the Rfam family "Bacterial small subunit ribosomal RNA", at positions 509 to 809 of the family's 1533-position model. The record is from RNAcentral.